GAUUUGUCCUGAAAGCUUUCACAUAGGCAGAAUUCUAGGGGGUGGGAUGGAGGGCCUCACAAAAUCACAAGAGGAUUAGACAAAUGCAGAAGGUGGCAGAGGUAUUCUGGAAACAUAAGAUAAUUUAAAGGUUGGAAUGGUUAAAUUGGACCAGCGGGUAUUGUGUAGUUCUCUCUUGCUUGAAAAAGCGAGACUGGAAAGAGGGGCAGAAAUAAGAUCAGUAAAGAUGUCUAGAGAAGCCUAGUAAAGGAUAGGAAAAGAGUGUUUCAUGUUAAGCAGUAAUGAGUUGAUGCAACUAGAGAAUCCAGAGAAGGCUGCAUGUACUCAUAUACAGGAUAUGUUCAACUAGACAUGAGGCAGCAGGCAAAGCCCUCAGGAAAAAAACCCAGAAGAGACAUGAGGAAGGGAAACAGGACACACUGAUCAGGAAACUGGCCAUGGCGAAGAUCAGAGAUGAGAAGACUGAGACUGAGUCAUACGGGGUUCGUGGCAGGCUGAGACUCUAAAACUACUGGAAUUCGGCUCGCGCCCACGCCACCACUCCAGGCGGUAUGAGCACACCACACCCUACGUCAAGAGCCCGCCACCGUCACGGGCUGUGACCUGGCCGACGCCCGCCUGUCGAAGGUCAGUGCGCCGCUGCCCCAGAAACAGCCUGUGGGAGGGCAGGGCACCCACACCGACUCGCAGCGCCGGGACAAGUCCUCUCUCCUCCGAAACCCAGCUACUGGGCUUCACCACCUAGUCCAAGAGGACACAGAUCUCCGUACGCAACGAUGCGCGGGGCUUGGCCCUUCCGAGCCACUAUCCUAUGCCCUAGCAUGUGCUACUCUCGCGAUAUGAGUGGCUGAGGCCCUAGAACUUCGUCACUGACCCAAUUUCCGCUCCCUGAAAGGGGCCCAGUCCCGGUCGGGCCGGGACAAUACCUGAGACAGGAGGCGCCUCCGCCAUCCCGUGCCGCAGAACCUAGAUCGAGCUGUACAGCCAAGCCAGCACUGUCACCAGGUCACGUGCUCCGGACUUCCGGCGCCGCGAGAAUAUUCGCAUCUGCGCGCAGUGUAGAUGACCACAGAGGUUGCGCAGCCCGAAUCUGUGUGGCGCGUUCGUGACGUCAGGGUCUUGCUGCCUUACCCAGGCUCGAGUGCAGUGGUCUGAUCAUGGCUCACUAUAGCUUCAGUCUCUAAUCCUCCCGCCUCAGCCUUCCGGGUAGCUAGAACUACAGGCGGAGCCACCAUGCGCAGCUAUUUUUAGUUGAGACGGGAUUCGCCAUGUUGCCCAGGCUAGUCUCCCAACUCCCGGCCUCAAGCGAUUCUGCCGAUUUGGCCUCCUAAAGUGCUUGGCUUACAGGCGUGAGCCACCACGCCUGGCUCCAAACUUUUUUUUUUUUUUUUUUUACAAAGGCGUUUAUUCUCAUCAGUAUCACUGAUAUUCUCAUGGUUCACAUUUGCCAACGCCGCUCCUCUCCUUACAGUAGUUAAAUGUGCCAUCUCAGUUGGGGUCCCAGGGAGGGGUGGGGGCUCGGCCCAGGGUGGGGAGGGCGUUGGCACUUCACGUCGACAGGGUGGGCAGCCUGUCCUGCGUGAAAGAGGUAUGGGUGAGUGGGCGGCCAGGGAAGGGGAGUUGGCAGGGGAGGGCCCUACAGUCUUUUUUCUCUGGUGGUUGGUGAUUCUUCAUUCAGAUUCCUUCCUGGCUGCCCAGGGUGGGGGAACCAUGCAGCUCAGGGCAGGGCAGGGGAGGAAGAGAAGGAAAAAGCAGCAGGCCGCCCGGGGGUAGGGGUGGAGGAUGAACGGCAGGGCAAGGGGGGCAAAGGGUGGCUCCUGGGGUAAGGCACAACCCUGUCUUUGACUUUCCUGGUGAGGAGUUCCUCCCCUGCACCCCCUGCCCGACCCUUCUCCCCACCCCCCAGACCCACACACAGUCCCGGGAGCCAGGGGGCACCUCCUGGGGUCCCUGAAACAAGUGGGCUUUGCCACCCAAGCCAGUGCCGCAGGGGCUCGAGGAGGGACACCCGAGGAAAAGGCAGAGAGGGGCAGGCAGGGGCCUACCCAGGACAAGGGGGUGGGGGUGAGAAGACCCUAGGCCCAGGAGCUGGGCCCCC
This is a long non-coding RNA of Pongo pygmaeus (Bornean orangutan), 2098 nucleotides long. RefSeq lists it as uncharacterized. NCBI's taxonomy places the organism in Eukaryota, Metazoa, Chordata, Mammalia, Primates, Hominidae. The transcript has 3 exons. The record is from RefSeq and is a predicted model, not a curated record.